ACGAAUGGUCGGAGCCAGUAUCAGGGAAGCCCUCUUCCCCUACCACCACCAACUGGGGGCCCAUAGGGCACUCGGCAGCCUCCAGCCCUGCGGUAGCAGCCUGUAACUCCGACGCGGCGGCCGCAGCGGCUGCGCCCUCUGCGGCUGCAAACUCCACUUGCACUGUAAGAUCGAUGGGCUUCACGUCUUCUCCAGUGGGAGUGAUGGGCGCCGGCGGCACGGAUUCCGGAGCCUGACUGCUGUCUACAGCGGCCUGAAGGAUGGAGUCUUGCUUAGUUGCCGAAGCUGGAGUAUUGUGGCUCGAUCUCAGCUCUGCAACCUCUGCCUCCCAGGGUUCAAGCAAUUCUCCUGUCUCAGUUUCCAGAGUAGCUAGAAUUAUAGUGCAGAUUCUGGGAAAGCGAACUCCACGGAAGACUCAGAAACCAAGUUCUAAUUCAGUUGCCAUGAAAACUUAAGGUGAGGGGAUUGUCAAUCAGUGAAAAAUACGGAGGAAAACACUAACAGAAUAUGAUGAAGAAGCCAACACUUGGGCUGCUUGCAUUACAUUAACCGAGGUUUACCCGCAGCGAGGCUGCCUCCAAAGCAG
Molecule: small RNA, 586 nt
Filed under: Pongo abelii (Sumatran orangutan)
Lineage: Eukaryota; Metazoa; Chordata; Mammalia; Primates; Hominidae
Description: processed transcript
Source: RNAcentral